GACGAACGCUGGCGGCGUGCUUAACACAUGCAAGUCGAAGCGGUAAGGCCCUUUCGGGGGUACACGAGCGGCGAACGGGUGAGUAACACGUGGGUGACCUGCCCUCAGCUCUGGGAUAAGCCCGGGAAACUGGGUCUAAUACCGGAUAUGACUCCAUGACGCAUGUUGUGGGGUGGAAAGCCUUGUGCGGCUGAGGAUGGGCCCGCGGCCUAUCAGCUUGUUGGUGGGGUGAUGGCCACCAAGGCGACGACGGGUAGCCGGCCUGAGAGGGCGACCGGCCACACUGGGACUGAGAUACGGCCCAGACUCCUACGGGAGGCAGCAGUGGGGAAUCUUGCGCAAUGGGCGAAAGCCUGAACGCAGCGACGCCGCGUGAGGGAUGACGGCCU
This 389-nucleotide ribosomal RNA is filed under the name uncultured bacterium. RNAcentral's name for it is "bacterial SSU rRNA". It matches the Rfam family "Bacterial small subunit ribosomal RNA", at positions 28 to 417 of the family's 1533-position model. The record is from RNAcentral.